AUAAUGAAAACUAGCUCUAUAAUAGGAAUCAGGAACUAAUCCUAUCCCUUAAUUAUUGAGGUCGGACGACCGUAAUCUUUCCCGUGUCAUUAACUGCCAUCCAAUCAUUUUCUUUAGAUUUUUCAAUUUUCUCUCUCUCGUCGUCCAUCUGCUUCAACAUUUUCUCCAAUCUUCGUUCUCCGACCAGAUUUUCUUUCGAGGCACUAGGAAAAGGAAUUCGAGAAAUUAAUUGAAGUUAUCUUCUACACCAUGCAUGACGGGAUACUUCUUGGCCGAGGAUGCAUUAAAUGUCUCUUAACUUUUUAAUGCUAGUUUCUGAAACCAAAUUGAAAUAUGAGCAAAUAAAUGAAACUUAAUAUAAUUCACUGUUAUGUUUUUUCUGUUUGAUUGGUUAUGUAAUAGUUAAAUUUGUAGACAAUUCCUGCAACAAAGGUGUAAAAAAAUAGAGGGUGUGAUGUAUUAUGCUAUGAAAUGGUGGAUUCCUCACCUCCUUUGCAAUAGUGUAGAGGGAGAAGAAGAAAAUUUGACAAAGCAAGUAUCUCCUCGUUAAAUGAAUGUGAGGAGGACAAUUAUCUUUCUAUAUGA
This is a long non-coding RNA of Chenopodium quinoa (quinoa), 585 nucleotides long. RefSeq lists it as uncharacterized. NCBI's taxonomy places the organism in Eukaryota, Viridiplantae, Streptophyta, Magnoliopsida, Caryophyllales, Amaranthaceae. The transcript is spliced from 2 exons. The record is from RefSeq and is a predicted model, not a curated record.